CCCGCACUGUUCCCGCCCACGUCAUCGCCGUUGGCGCACAACACCUUCGUGGUAAAACUCGCCUGCUCUGCGCCAACCAAUCUGCGUUGCACGCGCACACCGCACUACCACGCCUUGCUCCCGCGCCACCGGCCAGCGCGGGAGCACAGCAGCUGCCGCUACCGCAAGCGCCCACUGCGACCGGGCGCAAGCAAAACGCCCCCAGACGACAACACGGAGAGUUACCACACACCGCGCACGCACGCAAGAUUCAUUGCGUUUUCCCAGUUGGCGUCUCACUGUUACCAAGAUGAGCUUCGAAGGACUGCAAGGACUGCUGAAGAAGAAGAAACAAGAGCAGCGUCAAGGAGCUUCAGAUGGACCGGCUGCAGCGGCCGCGGCAGCUGCCAACGCCUCGGCACACACGCAAGCCCUUGCUGGAAGCGCUACAGCGGCCCACAAGAGUGCUACACCCACUAACACAGCACAUGCAGCUCCUAACGGCGGCGGUGGCAGCAGCGGCAAUGGUGGAUCCGGCAGCACCACCUAUGAUCCGUACGCAGCCGCUCUGCAGAGCGUGCAAAUCUUGCAGCAGCAGCAGCAGCAAGAGCAGCAAGGAAUGCUCAGCAGCACUACGGCAGGCCAGAAGCGCCCCCGGGAGGAUAUGGUGCAGGCAUCGAAGCUGGUCGGAGCUGUACACACCUCUAACGGCUCGUCCGCCGCUGAAGCGAGUGACGAGCUCAAUGUCAGGUCGGGUGCGUCAGCCAGCACACCACCGACUGUCUCACUCAACGCGCCUGUAGUGCCGUCGGUGAAGAGCGACGACGACGUUUUGGCGCAGCGUGAGAUGGGCGUUGCGGUGCUUCAGAUGUGCCUUACUAAGCUGGAACACUACUGGGCCGCGGAGCGAGCGUCAUGCAAGGCUCUUGCGUCUACUUGCUAUUCGGUCACAGCCACUGCUCCAGUGCCCGCUGUGCCGCAGCCGCAGCACCAGCCGUCGUCUGCCGGUGCUCUCCUUGAAUCGAGUGACUCACUGCCCGCGCUGUCGUCUCUCCUUUCUAUUCCGCGCGCACUGCGCGACUACCUCGUGGCUCAGUUUGUGGCACCAAAUCCUGGCGCCACGCGUGCGACAGGGCUGCCUGAGAUGACGGUGCUGGAUCGUGAGUUUGAGCUUCUGGCCGAACUGAAAGCGGAGAUGGAGGCAGAGCCGCCGAACGAGGCGGUGGACAGCGCGAGCACCGUCGAUACAAAAGCUCACCAGGUGCCGGAAGAGCAGCGUCAACUCGCCGAGCUCCUGUGUGCGCUGUGGUACCUCGUUGCGCUGUUCUGGCAACACAGCCUCGAUCCGCACCAGCGCAAUGGUCGGAGCUGUGCAGCGUCGACCGCCAUGCCGCGAGAGGGGCCGCUGGCACCAGCGCAGCAGGGCUGGUCACCCGCCGUCUACCUUGGCCUUCAAAACGCGCUGCCGGCUGAUGUGCGACUUCUGCAGGGCCGCGCCAUUGCCGAAGAAGUGGACCGGUGGCGAGCGCUGGCCCGCACCCGGCAGAACGCGCUGGAGCUGCUUUCCUACGUCUGCAGCGACUACGACACCUCUGCUGCGGCGUCGUCGCCAUCGACCACGGCAGCAGGCUUUAUUAUUCCAUCCGACCUUCGCAAGAAUCUGCACACCAUGGUGGUGCGCCACCUGCAGCAGGAGCGUAACUUCAUGGCGGUGCGGCAGGACUACGUGGAUAUCACAAUGGGCACAGCAAACUGGAAGCUUGGGCUAUUCUCUGGUGGCGAGGUGCACAUGCGCCGGUCGAUGGAGCGGGUGGAGCGCAACCGGAUCGCGCACCUGCUGAACAACGAACACGCGACGCAACUGCUGCAGGCGGUGCGAGAGCUGACCAUAUUUGUGGAGCACCACGCUCUUGCGAGGACUUCGCCCUUCUUUUGCCCAGCGUGCGCCACUUCCACCAUGGCCGCGUAGUGAUCAAGGCGCAGGGGGGGGCAGGAGGAAGAAGGGUCGCGGUUGCCGCGUCGACUGUGCGCCUGUGCAAGUCUGGGCCUGUGUGACAGAAAAGACACACGCGAGCAAGUGAAGUAGCGUUAGCACAGCAACAGAAGGUAAUGAGAUAGCCACCUCGAAAACCUGGCAGCCUUGAUUGCGCAGGCUACGCUUGUGCGCAUAGACACGCAUGCAGGAAUACAAGCCCGUUCUCCACGUCAACACGGUGGCGGACAACGAGGAUCUCUUCUUUUUUUUUUCUUUCGUGCAUAGCAGCUGGCGCACCAGCUCACUUUG
RNAcentral lists this unclassified non-coding RNA (2263 nucleotides) under Leishmania donovani. RNAcentral describes it as "gene:LdHU3.22.1190(CDS-product:Prp18_domain_conta ining_protein_putative)". Lineage: Eukaryota; Euglenozoa; Kinetoplastea; Trypanosomatida; Trypanosomatidae. The record is from RNAcentral.